GACGAACGCGGCGGGGUGCCUAAUACAUGCAAGUAGAACGCUGAAGGAGGAGCUUGCUUCUCUGGAUGAGUUGCGAACGGGUGAGUAACGCGUAGGUAACCUGCCUGGUAGCGGGGGAUAACUAUUGGAAACGAUAGCUAAUACCGCAUAAGAGUAGAUGUUGCAUGACAUUUGCUUAAAAGGUGCAAUUGCAUCACUACCAGAUGGACCUGCGUUGUAUUAGCUAGUUGGUGGGGUAACGGCUCACCAAGGCGACGAUACAUAGCCGACCUGAGAGGGUGAUCGGCCACACUGGGACUGAGACACGGCCCAGACUCCUACGGGAGGCAGCAGUAGGGAAUCUUCGGCAACGGACGGAAGUCUGACCGAGCAACGCCGCGUGAGUGAAGAAGGUUUUCGGAUCGUAAAGCUCUGUUGUAAGAGAAGAACGAGUGUGAGAGUGGAAAGUUCACACUGUGACGGUAUCUACCA
This 471-nucleotide ribosomal RNA is filed under the name Streptococcus mitis. RNAcentral's name for it is "bacterial SSU rRNA". It matches the Rfam family "Bacterial small subunit ribosomal RNA", at positions 28 to 485 of the family's 1533-position model. The record is from RNAcentral. Lineage: Bacteria; Bacillati; Bacillota; Bacilli; Lactobacillales; Streptococcaceae.